RNAcentral lists this transfer RNA (66 nucleotides) under Seladonia aeraria. RNAcentral describes it as "tRNA-Leu". Lineage: Eukaryota; Metazoa; Arthropoda; Insecta; Hymenoptera; Halictidae. The record is from RNAcentral.
AUUAUUUUGGCAGAUUAGUGUGAUAAAUUUAGAAUUUAAUAAAGUAUAGAGUUUAUACAAAUAAUA